GGGGACGGAGUGACAGGUGGUGCAUGGUUGUCGUCAGCUCGUGUCGUGAGAUGUUGGGUUAAGUCCCGCAACGAGCGCAACCCUUGUUAUUAGUUGCCAGCAUUCAGUUGGGCACUCUAAUGAGACUGCCGGUGACAAACCGGAGGAAGGUGGGGAUGACGUCAA
This 165-nucleotide ribosomal RNA is filed under the name uncultured bacterium. Its description in RNAcentral is "partial 16S ribosomal RNA". It matches the Rfam family "Bacterial small subunit ribosomal RNA", at positions 1022 to 1188 of the family's 1533-position model. The record is from RNAcentral.